CAUCGCCUUUUGUAAAGAGUCUAAUAUAUAAAAGGUCCUGCCUGCCCGGUGACUUAGUUAAACGGCCGCGGUAUUUUGACCGUGCAAAGGUAGCAUAAUCAUUUGCCUUUUAAAUGGGGGCUGGUAUGAAUGGCAAGACGGGAAUCAGACUGUCUCUCUCUUAGUGUUUUGAAAUUAAUAUUUUCGUGAAGAAGCGGAGAUUAAAUCGUAGGACGAGAAGACCCUAUCGAGCUUUAGUUGAAGUUAUAGGCUAGUGGUGGUAUUUUAUGUGCUAAUAAGUUAUUUUGUUAGCUUGAAAGGUACUGUCAAUAAUACUGAGGUUAUAUAUUGUAGGCUUAGGUUGGGGCAACUGCGGAGAAUAAGAAUCCUCCGUUGAAUUAUUGUUAAAUAUUAUAUUUUCGAUAGUGUUUAUUAGAAGUGAUCCACUUAUAAAGUGAUUAAAAGAAUAAGUUACCGUAGGGAUAACAGCGUAAUUUUUUUGGAGAGUUCAUAUUGAUAAAGAAGUUUGCGACCUCGAUGUUGGAUCGGGAUUUCCUAGAGAUGCAGCAGUUUCUAAGGGUUGGUCUGUUCGACCAUUAAAAUCCUACG
RNAcentral lists this ribosomal RNA (588 nucleotides) under Aquilonastra iranica. RNAcentral describes it as "partial 16S ribosomal RNA". It matches the Rfam family "Bacterial large subunit ribosomal RNA", at positions 1814 to 2600 of the family's 2925-position model. The record is from RNAcentral. Lineage: Eukaryota; Metazoa; Echinodermata; Asteroidea; Valvatida; Asterinidae.